UGCUUGGGAAUAUGCCUUGAGGUGGGGGACAACAGUUGGAAACGACUGCUAAUACCGCAUAAUGUCUACGGACCAAAGAGGGGGACCUUCGGGCCUCUUGCCUUUAGAUUAGCCCAAGUGAGAUUAGCUAGUAGGUGGGGUAAUGGCUCACCUAGGCGACGAUCUCUAGCUGGUUUGAGAGGACGACCAGCCACACUGGGACUGAGACACGGCCCAGACUCCUACGGGAGGCAGCAGUGGGGAAUUUUGGACAAUGGGGGAAACCCUGAUCCAGCCAUCCCGCGUGUGCGAUGAAGGCCU
This 300-nucleotide ribosomal RNA is filed under the name uncultured Colwelliaceae bacterium. RNAcentral's name for it is "bacterial SSU rRNA". It matches the Rfam family "Bacterial small subunit ribosomal RNA", at positions 114 to 417 of the family's 1533-position model. Lineage: Bacteria; Pseudomonadati; Pseudomonadota; Gammaproteobacteria; Alteromonadales; Colwelliaceae. The record is from RNAcentral.